UGCCUAUCUGGUCAACGAAAUCCAGGAAGUUUACCGGCUCCAGGGCGUGCUCAUCAACGACAAGCACAUCGAAGUGAUUGUCCGUCAGAUGCUGCAGAAGGUCGAGAUCACCGAUCAGGGCGAGACCGACAUGAUCUCGGGCGAGCNUCGACAAGAUCGAGUUCGACGCGCUCAACGCCAAGGCGAAGGAAGAGGGCAAGAAGCCCGCGACUGGUACCCCGGUGCUGCUCGGCAUCACCAAGGCCAGCCUGCAGACGCGGUCGUUCU
RNAcentral lists this unclassified non-coding RNA (267 nucleotides) under Hevea brasiliensis (rubber tree). The record is from RNAcentral. Lineage: Eukaryota; Viridiplantae; Streptophyta; Magnoliopsida; Malpighiales; Euphorbiaceae.